GUCAGGCAUGGUGGCUCAUGCCUGUAAUCCUAGCACUUUGGGAGGCUGAGGCAGGAGGAUCACUUGAGCCCAGGAGUUUUGGGCUGCAGUGAGCUAUGAUCGUGCCACUGCACUCCAGCCUGAGCAACAGAGAAAGACUCUGUCUCUGAAAAAAUAACCGGGUGAGGUGGCUCAUGCCUGUAAUCCCAGCACUUUGGGAGGCCGAGGUGGGCAGAUCACCUGAGGUGAGGAGUUCAAGACCAGCCUGGCCAACAUGGUGAAAUCUCGUCUGU
RNAcentral lists this small RNA (272 nucleotides) under Theropithecus gelada (gelada). RNAcentral's name for it is "Metazoan signal recognition particle RNA (ENSTGEG00000015479.1)". The stretch from base 1 to 148 matches the Rfam family "Metazoan signal recognition particle RNA". From Rfam's summary of the family: The signal recognition particle (SRP) is a universally conserved ribonucleoprotein. It is involved in the co-translational targeting of proteins to membranes. Lineage: Eukaryota; Metazoa; Chordata; Mammalia; Primates; Cercopithecidae. The record is from RNAcentral.